GGAUAACCUACCCUUGGGACAGGGAUAACCCCGGGAAACUGGGGAUAAUACCUGAUAGACCAUGGAGGCUGGAAGGCGCCAUGGUUCAAAGGGGCAACCGCCCGCCCAAGGAUGGGUCUGCGGCCUAUCAGGUUGUAGUGGGUGUAACGCACCUACUAGCCUACGACGGGUACGGGCUGUGGGAGCAGGAGCCCGGAGAUGGAUUCUGAGACAUGAAUCCAGGCCCUACGGGGUGCAGCAGGCGCGAAAACUUUACAAUGCGGGAAACCGUGAUAAGGGAACCUCGAGUGCCGAUGCAUAGCAUCGGCUGUCCAGAUGCCUAAAAAGCAUCUGAUAGCAAGGGCCGGGCAAGACCGGUGCCAGCCGCCGCGGUAACACCGGCGGCUCGAGUGGUGGCCACUUUUAUUGGGUCUAAAGCGUCCGUAGCCGGCUUGGCAAGUCCCCUGGGAAAUCUGGCGGCUUAACCGUCAGGCGUCCAGAGGAUACUGCCAGGCUUGGGACCGGGAGAGGUGAGAGGUACCUCAGGGGUAGGGGUGAAAUCUUGUGAUCCCUGAGGGACCACCAGUGGCGAAGGCGUCUCACUAGAACGGGUCCGACGGUCAGGGACGAAAGCUGGGGGCACGAACCGGAUUAGAUACCCGGGUAGUCCCAGCCGUAAACGAUGCUCGCUAGGUGUCAGGCAUGGCAUGACUGUGCCUGGUGCCGAAGGGAAGCCGUGAAGCGAGCCACCUGGGAAGUACGGCCGCAAGGCUGAAACUUA
This 760-nucleotide ribosomal RNA is filed under the name uncultured Methermicoccus sp. Its description in RNAcentral is "bacterial SSU rRNA". It matches the Rfam family "Archaeal small subunit ribosomal RNA", at positions 102 to 858 of the family's 1478-position model. Lineage: Archaea; Methanobacteriati; Methanobacteriota; Methanomicrobia; Methanosarcinales; Methermicoccaceae. The record is from RNAcentral.